AUACAGAGGGUGCAAGCGUUAAUCGGAAUUACUGGGCGUAAAGCGCGCGUAGGUGGUUCAGUAAGAUGGAAGUGAAAUCCCCGGGCUUAACCUGGGAACUGCUUUCAUAACUGCUGAGCUAGAGUACGGUAGAGGGUAGUGAAAUUUCCUGUGUAGCGGUGAAAUGCGUAGAUAUAGGAAGGAACACCAGUGGCGAAGGCGACUACCUGGACUGAUACUGACACUGAGGUGCGAAAGCGUGGGAAGCAAACAGGAUUAGAUACCCGGGUAGUCCACGCCGUAAACGAUGUCAACUAGCCGUUGGGAACCUUGAGUUCUUAGUGGCGCAGCUAACGCACUAAGUUGACCGCCUGGGGAGUACGGUCGCAAGAUUAAAACUCAAAUGAAUUGGCGGGG
RNAcentral lists this ribosomal RNA (396 nucleotides) under uncultured bacterium. Its description in RNAcentral is "partial 16S ribosomal RNA". It matches the Rfam family "Bacterial small subunit ribosomal RNA", at positions 523 to 918 of the family's 1533-position model. The record is from RNAcentral.